GUCAAAUCAUCAUGCCCCUUAUACCCUGGGCUACACACGUGCUACAAUGGGUCGGUACAAAGAGAAGCGAAACUGUGAAGUGAAGCAAACCUCAUAAAGCCGAUCUCAGUUCGGAUUGUAGUCUGCAACUCGACUACAUGAAGAUGGAAUCGCUAGUAAUCGUGGAUCAGCAUGCCACGGUGAAUACGUUCCCGGGUCUU
Molecule: ribosomal RNA, 200 nt
Filed under: uncultured prokaryote
Description: partial 16S ribosomal RNA
Rfam family: Bacterial small subunit ribosomal RNA
Source: RNAcentral